RNAcentral lists this ribosomal RNA (440 nucleotides) under uncultured Acidobacteriota bacterium. Its description in RNAcentral is "bacterial SSU rRNA". It matches the Rfam family "Bacterial small subunit ribosomal RNA", at positions 415 to 873 of the family's 1533-position model. Lineage: Bacteria; Pseudomonadati; Acidobacteriota. The record is from RNAcentral.
CCUUCGGGGUGUAAAGCUCUUUCGACGGGGACGAUAAUGACGGUACCCGUAGAAGAAGCUGCGGCUAACUACGUGCCAGCAGCCGCGGUAAUACGUAGGCGGCAAGCGUUGUUCGGAAUUACUGGGCGUAAAGGGUGCGUAGGCGGUUUUUUAAGUCUGGUGUGAAAUCUCCCGGCUCAACUGGGAGGGUGCGCCGAAUACUGGAGGGCUAGAGUGUGGGAGAGGUAAGUGGAAUUCCUGGUGUAGCGGUGAAAUGCGUAGAUAUCAGGAGGAACACCUGUGGUGUAAACGGCUUACUGGACCAUUACUGACGCUGAGGCACGAAAGCGUGGGUAGCAAACAGGAUUAGAUACCCUGGUAGUCCACGCCCUAAACGAUGCAUACUUGGUGUGGGCCAUUCAUUUGGUCCGUGCCGGAGCUAACGCGUUAAAUAUGCCGCC